AGUCGACGAACUUCUUUAUCACCGAGUGCUUGCACUCACCGAUAAAGAGUUUAGUGGCGAACGGGUGAGUAACACGUGGGCAACCCGCCCAAAAGAGGGGGAUAACACUUGGAAACAGGUGCUAAUACCGCAUAACCAUAGUUACCGCAUGGUAACUAUGUAAAAGGUGGCUAUGCUACCGCUUUUGGAUGGGCCCGCGACGCAUUAGCUAGUUGGUGGGGUAAAGGCUUACCAAGGCAAUGAUGCGUAGCCGAACUGAGAGGUUGAUCGGCCACAUUGGGACUGAGACACGGCCCAAACUCCUACGGGAGGCAGCAGUAGGGAAUCUUCCACAAUGGGCGAAAGCCUGAUGGAGCAACGCCGCGUGGGUGAAGAAGGUCUUCGGAUCGUAAAACCCUGUUGUUAGAGAAGAAAGUGCGUGAGAGUAACUGUUCACGUUUCGACGGUAUCUAACCAGAAAGCCACGGCUAACUACGUGCCAGCAGCCGCGGUAAUACGUAGGUGGCAAGCGUUAUCCGGAUUUAUUGGGCGUAAAGAGAACGCAGGCGGUCUUUUAAGUCUGAUGUGAAAGCCUUCGGCUUAACCGGAGUAGUGCAUUGGAAACUGGGAGACUUGAGUGCAGAAGAGGAGAGUGGAACUCCAUGUGUAGCGGUGAAAUGCGUAGAUAUAUGGAAGAACACCAGUGGCGAAAGCGGCUCUCUGGUCUGUAACUGACGCUGAGGUUCGAAAGCGUGGGUAGCAAACAGGAUUAGAUACCCUGGUAGUCCACG
RNAcentral lists this ribosomal RNA (770 nucleotides) under uncultured bacterium. RNAcentral describes it as "bacterial SSU rRNA". It matches the Rfam family "Bacterial small subunit ribosomal RNA", at positions 60 to 799 of the family's 1533-position model. The record is from RNAcentral.